GACAGAGGGUGCAAACGUUGUUCGGAAUUACUGGGCGUAAAGCGCGUGUAGGCGGCUAUGCAAGUCGGAUGUGAAAGCCCUCGGCUCAACCGGGGAAGUGCACCCGAAACUGCAAAGCUAGAGUCUCGGAGAGGAUCGUGGAAUUCUGUGUGGAGCGGUGAAAUGCGUUGAUCUACAGAGGAACACCAAAAAAGGCGAAGGCAGUCAACUAUUCUGUUCCUGACAUUGAGGCAUGAAAGCGUGGGGAGCAAACCGG
Molecule: ribosomal RNA, 256 nt
Filed under: uncultured bacterium
Lineage: Bacteria
Description: partial 16S ribosomal RNA
Rfam family: Bacterial small subunit ribosomal RNA
Source: RNAcentral